RNAcentral lists this ribosomal RNA (500 nucleotides) under uncultured bacterium. RNAcentral's name for it is "partial 16S ribosomal RNA". It matches the Rfam family "Bacterial small subunit ribosomal RNA", at positions 30 to 523 of the family's 1533-position model. The record is from RNAcentral.
AUUGAACGCUGGCGGAAUGCUUUACACAUGCAAGUCGAACGGCAGCACGGACUUCGGUCUGGUGGCGAGUGGCGAACGGGUGAGUAAUGUAUCGGAACGUGCCCAGUCGUGGGGGAUAACGUAGUGAAAAUUACGCUAAUACCGCAUACGAUCUAUGGAUGAAAGCGGGGGAUCGCAAGACCUCGCGCGAUUGGAGCGGCCGAAAUCGGAUUAGGUAGUUGGUGGGGUAAAGGCCCACCAAGCCAACGAUCUGUAGCUGGUCUGAGAGGACGACCAGCCACACUGGAACUGAGACACGGUCCAGACUCCUACGGGAGGCAGCAGUGGGGAAUUUUGGACAAUGGGCGAAAGCCUGAUCCAGCCAUUCCGCGUGCAGGAUGAAGGCCCUCGGGUUGUAAACUGCUUUUGUACAGAACGAAAAGGUUUCUACUAAUACUAGGAGCUCAUGACGGUACUGUAAGAAUAAGCACCGGCUAACUACGUGCCAGCAGCCGCCGCGG